UCGUAGAGAAGAGAAGAAUAAAAUAACGGUGAAGAAACAAAGAACGACGGAAGAAGGAGAAGAGGGUGGCGACGACAGGGACGGUCACAGAGAAGGAUGCUAGUUCGACAGAGAAAAGAAGAGAAAUGAGGCGACGGCGGUGAUGAAUGCCACCACCGCUGUUGGAUUCGUAGAACCGUGUCCAUUUAGCUAUCAAGCGGCAUUCUGCAGAGUGAUCCAUAUGAGAGAUGGUGUCAAGCUUUGGAUUGAAUAAAUUGAAAAAGCUAAAUUAGCUUUGGCUAAGGAUGAGGCUGAGCUUUCAAAAUUGAAAAAAGAAGAAAGCACACUUAAAGAUAUUGUGCAACAGCUAAGCGGUAUCCUUUUUCUUUCAUGCUGCUCAUGACUGACUCUGAACUUGAAUGUAAUGAAAAACGGCUGCCAGAUGCACCAGACAGGACACCGGCUGCCAAUAUUGAAGGUGGCUGAAGCAUUGCAUUUUUAGGCACUGUCUAAGUCUCUAAGACAUUAACUGUAGAUGAACUGCUUUAUUUAAAGGAGGAGUUUACACUUUUGGAGCCAAACAAAAAUGUAACCAUUAGUCUAGAAAACAUCAAAGCGGCCUCGAUGAAAAAUGCAACAAAUGCUAUGGAGUCACGCAUUCUUGACUUUUUUGGAUCAGUAAGUUCUAUGAUUUAACUAUACCAAUGCUUCCAU
Molecule: non-coding RNA, 693 nt
Organism: Arachis ipaensis
Lineage: Eukaryota; Viridiplantae; Streptophyta; Magnoliopsida; Fabales; Fabaceae
Source: RefSeq, a predicted model, not a curated record